This 1171-nucleotide long non-coding RNA is filed under the name Parus major (Great Tit). RNAcentral describes it as "lncRNA (ENSPMJG00000009441.1)". The record is from RNAcentral. Lineage: Eukaryota; Metazoa; Chordata; Aves; Passeriformes; Paridae.
GCGUCAGUGAGAUUGCUGGAAAAACUAUGCUGGUGUGCAAAGGAUGCAGGAAGGAGGCAGCAUCUCUGCAGAGAAAGAGUUCCACUCACAGCCUGGUUAGGCUAACCUGGAAGAAAGGGAAUGGGAAGGAAGAAGGGAAGAAAGUGGAAUACAUGCUGCUGUGAUCUACUGCUACAGUGGCUCAAAAAACUCAGAGGAGCUCAUGUAUUUUUCAGUGUUGACUACCCUCGUUUUGCAGGUGAUGAAUUACAGACCCUUUAGCAGCUAUGACACUCUCUCUAAUUGUGUUUCCUCAAAUUAGCUCAGAGCUCUGAGAAGCUGGCAUGUAGUGAGACAACCCAGUGGGAGUAUGGGAUUUUCCUGCCCUUGCAUAGUGUAUAAAUAAAGGCUCUUUUCUACAAUCCUUAUGAUCAGACAGUCUUGCCUAAAGCUGGUCGGAAUAGAUCCAGUGACUUCAGUGAGGCUGUGCAUGUUCACAUCAGCUGAGAAUCUGGCCUGAAGUACUAUUAAAUUACUUAUUUCACUUCUAUAAAUAUCCCUGCCCUGCUGAGAUGAUGCGCCUGAUUCAUGGGGCCUGUUUUGCUGCACAGGGCAGUUGAUGGGCAAGAUAACCAGUAGUCAGAUCAUUAAAACACAAUUAGACAGAAGGAAGCCAGAAAUUCAGCCACAAUCAUCCCUCUCCAUUUUGUGCCCCAGCAUACGCUGGCAGUUCCUGCGGACAGCUGGAGGCACACGAGGAUGUUACCUCCUAGCUGCCGUGCCAUACCUUCUCCAAGGAGAGCAGCAGCUGAAAAGCAGAUUGCCUUCCUGAAAAUGGGACAUCCUGUCAGCAGGGAAAAGCAAACUGAACAAAAGGUGCUGAGUUUGUUUCCCAUUCAGUGGCUGCUAUUUGCCUCAUGGUGUUUGGCAUUCGCCUUGCAAUCUCCAAGUGAGCCAGUGAGGUCUUCUUUGGUGCCCAGCCACUUCUAAUCAAACAAGCAUGUUUCUGGGGGAUGGCAAAGGCAGGUAAAAUCACUGUCUUUGUCCUGUGAGUGCUUCACUGACCCAAGUGACAGCCUCUCCAUACACCCUUCUGGGUUGUGGUUUUGGUAUGAUGAAGGAGUUGUCAGGAGGAAUGCUGGGCAGAAAUGAGGCAGACACUUUUAAUAAGACCAACAGUUUGAAAAUUUCG